CUUCAGCGAGCCCAGCCACAGCGGCUCGCCCUCACCACGCUCCUGACCGUACGUGGCCAGCAACGCCUGUGCCUC
RNAcentral lists this antisense RNA (75 nucleotides) under Streptomyces eurocidicus. RNAcentral describes it as "ASpks sRNA". It matches the Rfam family "ASpks TB sRNA". The record is from RNAcentral. Lineage: Bacteria; Bacillati; Actinomycetota; Actinomycetes; Kitasatosporales; Streptomycetaceae.